This is an RNA transcript of Lemur catta (Ring-tailed lemur), 6133 nucleotides long. It is a transcript of the gene named period circadian regulator 3, with no coding region annotated. NCBI's taxonomy places the organism in Eukaryota, Metazoa, Chordata, Mammalia, Primates, Lemuridae. The record is from RefSeq and is a predicted model, not a curated record. The transcript has 24 exons.
GUGGCCCGGGGCGCCUCGAGUCCUGCCCUCCGCCCGGAAUCCGCCGGAACGUUGCUCUCCCGAGCUGCCCCCGUGCCCGGGCCGGGUUUGCCGGCGCACGCCGACUUUCCUGAGCCGGCGGGGGCAAAGUUGUGUCCCGCGUGAGGACCCGGCCCAGGGCCGCGCGCCGGGGAGCCGCAGCCAGCCCGGUUUCGGGCGUCGAGUUGGCCGUUUCAUUUGUUUCUUGUCCCUUUGUCUCCUCUCCCCAGGCUGGACUCCCAGGAACGGAGAAAUCUCAGGAGGCUUUAUGGAAAUGCUGGGGAGAAGAGCCCCUCUAAGGUGAACGUGGGCCAGUAAUUGCUGGCUUGUGUUGACUGCCCGUUCUCUUACGCGAUGGCAUGGACCGAAAUGAGAAAUCCGGGUCUGUCGCUGAUUGCAAAGUGAGGGAGAAGCCAGCCACGGACUGAGGGCUGCCCAGCGGAACAUGGACCCCUGUGAAGAUUUGGAGAUGCUCGGCGGGAAGUCUCCUGACCCCAGGCGACUGGUGGCCCAUGAAGAGGCUCUGGGUGGAGAAUCUGAGAUGUGGAGCCCCAAGUUCCAGCUGCAGAGGAAAUACGUGGAGAGCAGCAACAGUGAACAGCAAGAUCGAAAUAGAGUUUCUGAAGAACUUAUAAUGGUUGUCCAAGAAAUGAAGAAAUAUUUCCCAUCAGAGAGACACAGUAAGCCAAGCACUCUAGAUGCCCUCAACUAUGCCCUUCGCUGUGUACACAGUGUGCAAGCAAACAGUGAGUUUUUCCAGAUUCUCAGUCAAAACGGAGCACCUCAGGCAGAUGUGACCAUGUACAGUCUUGAGGAGCUGGCCACUAUUGCUUCAGAACACACUUCCAAAAACACAGAUACCUUUGUGGCAGUGUUUUCAUUUCUGUCUGGAAGGUUAGUGCACAUUUCUGAACAGGCUACUUUGAUCCUGAAUUAUAAGAAAGAUUGGCUGGAGUCCUCUCACUUUGUUGACCUGCUUGCCCCUCAAGACGUGCGGGUGUUCUACAUGCACACUGCCCGAGCUCAGCUCCCCUUUUGGAACAGCUGGACCCAAAGAGCACCGUCACAGUACGACUAUGCUCCUGUGAAAUCCUUCUUCUGCAGGAUCCGUGGAGGGGCAGGCGGAAGACAGCAAGAGAAAUAUUACUCCCCAUUCCGGAUUAUUCCCUACUUGAUUCACGUACAUAGCUCUGCCCACCCAGAGCCGGAACCUUGCUGUCUCACGCUGGCUGAAAAGAUUCACUCUGGUUACGAAGCUCCUAGAAUCCCAGUGGAUAAAAGAAUUUUUACCACAACACACACCCCAGGGUGUGUUUUUCUUGAAGUAGAUGAAAGAGCGGUGCCUUUGCUGGGUUAUCUACCUCAGGACCUGAUCGGAACAUCGAUCUUAACAUACUUGCACCCAGAAGAUCGUUCUCUGAUGGUUGCCAUACACCAAAAAGUCUUGAAGUAUGCAGGCCAUCCUCCCUUUGAACAUUCUCCCAUUAGAUUUCGUACUCAAAAUGGAGAUUACAUCAUAUUGGAUUCCAGUUGGUCCAGCUUUGUGAACCCUUGGAGCCGGAAGGUUUCUUUCAUCAUUGGUCGGCAUAAAGUUCGAACGAGUCCACUAAAUGAAGAUGUUUUUGCUACCAGAAUAAAAAAGAUGAACAGUAAUGACAAAGACAUAACAGAAUUACAACAACAAAUUCACAAACUUCUCUUACAGCCGGUUCACGUGAGCGCUUCCAGCGGCUACGGCAGCCUGGGGAGCAGCGGCUCGCAGGAGCAGCUGGUCAGCGCGGCGUCCUCCAGUGAGGCCAGCGGGCACUGCGCGGGGGAGACGCGGAAGGAGCCGAUGACCUUGCAGCAGGUCUAUGCCAGUGUAAACAAAAUUAAGAAUCUGGGUCAGCAGCUGUACAUUGAGUCCAUGACCGGAUCAUCAGUCAAGCCAGUGACGAGGACACACACAGAACUGCUUGGUGGUGAUGAGCAGAAGGCCUUUUCUUCCUUCCAGACAAUGAAAAAUAAUAGUCUACGUACUGAGUCUUGUGAGGAUUUGAAGAAAGAUGAGCACAGCCCAUCCUAUCAACAGAUAAACUGUAUUGAUAGUGUUAUCAGGUACCUGAAGAGCUACAACAUUCCAGCUUUUAAAAGAAAGUGUAUAUCCUGUGCAAAUACAACUUCUUCAUCCUCAGAAGACGACAAACAGAACCUCAAGCCAGACGAUGUCCAAGCAUUGCAAGCUGUUUCUCAGAUCCCAGCCAUACCUAAGUCGGAAAUGCCAGCAAAUGAAUGGUCCACAGGCGCUGAAGGAGGAGCGCCCCGGACCUUGUCCACCGCGGCGCUGAGCCUGGGCUCGGGCGUCAGCCAGUGCAGUUACAGCAGCACCGCCGUCCAUGUCGCACCCACAGAGCCAGCAGAGGAUGCUACCCUAGCAUGUGAGCCCUGGACCCUAAACACGCAGCCGGUUCCUUUGACCUUGGAAGAGUUCAGAAGUGUAGGGCUCACGAAGGCCGUUCUGUCGGCCCACACCCAGAAGGAAGAACAGAAUUAUGUUGACAAAUUCCGGGAAAAGAUCCUGUCAUCACCCUACAGCUCCUAUCUUCAGCAAGAAAGCAGAAACAAAGCUGAAUAUUCCUAUGUUCAAGGAGAUUCUACUUCCAGGCAGACAAGGUCAGCUGGUUGCAAGAAAGGGAAGCACAAGCGCAAGAAGCUGCCUGCGCCGUUGGGCGGCAGCGGCUCUGAAGCUGGCUCCGGUGCCCAUGCCUGGGGCACGCUUGGGCACACACAGCCAUGGUGCCCUUCCACUGCCUCAUGUCCUCACGCCGCGGGCCUGGCACUCCCGUCUGCUGUGAUGAUUCCCAGCCAGGCCCCUUAUCUCAUCCCAGCUUUUCCCCUCCCAGCCAUGGCCUCUCUGGAAAGAGAAUGUGCAGCGUCAGGAACUGCCCUGGAGUGUCUGCCUGAGCCACCCUCCGGUGGCUUGCAGCCUCUUCCAGCAUUCCCUUCUCCUUACUUGGACACUUUUAUGACCAUUUUCCUGCAUGAACCCGCUGUCUGUCCUCUCUUGUCAUCAUCACUAUUUCCAUAUCCAUUCUUGGGAGCAGCAGGCUCUUCUGAAAUAGCACCCUCAGCAUCAGCAAUGGCUCCAGACUUGGAGUCGCCACCUUCAGUCACCAACCCCAGGGGAGCUGAGGAAGAGUGGGAGACUCGCAGUGGCGAGUACCCGUUCAUUAACUCAAGGAGCAGCUCACCGUUGCAGCUGGACUUACUUCAGGAGGAGAUGCCCAGAUCUUCUGAAGUUUCAGAUCACGUGAAAAGAGAUGUCUGCCCAGAAGCUGAGUAUCAAUGUGUUACAGGCAAGAGUGGGAAUAAGAACGGUUGUCCUGCUGCCAGUGAGCUGUCCACGGUGUUACUGCACGAGGAGACUCCACCUGGAGCUGGUUCUGCAGCAUCAGGAAGCAGUGACAGCAGCAUGUACUUUGCUACUAGCCAUUAUUCUUCUGAAAUAUCCCAAAACGGGCAGCAAUCUCAGGAUGUACAGAAAAAAGAAACAUUUCCCAAUUUAGCUGAAGAGUCCGUCUGGAGGAUGAUACAGCAAACACCUGCGAGCAUCCUAAUGACCUAUCAGGUACCUGAGAGGGUUAAAGAAGUUGUACUAAAAGAAGACCUAGAAAAGCUAGAAAGCAUGAGGCAGCACCAGCCCCACUUUUCUCAAGGGCAAAAGGAGGAACUGGCCAAGGUGUAUUCUUGGCUUCAAAGGCAGAGUAUCCCUCAAGAAAUAGACAUCCAAGAAAGCACUUCUUUCUCCUUUGAGUUUUAUAGCUUUUUAUAAAUGCACCCUGAUAACAAUGAGGAGAAUGGACUUCUUAUCCUUGGUGACUGCUGGGCCCCAGUUCUCCCUGUAGCUCAGAUCUCUGCUCAGAAGAGAUGGAAACUGAGGCACAGGGAGUCAAAUAUCUUGGUCAAAGACUCACAGCUACUUUGUGUUGGCAGUAGGGAUUUGGACCUAGUAAUCUGACACCAGAGUCCCCAUCUAUAAGAAUAAUUGCCUAAUAUCACUAAAAAAGUAGAGAUUCUAGAAUUACACUACAAUGGAAGUCCACUUUUAAGGUUUGUUCUGGAAAGCUUAAAGGGAGCUUUACCAAACCUGUGCUCUGUGAGAGAUGUGUGACGUUUGUUGAACGUCCUGGGCAUUUGUGUCGACACUUGGAGGAACACAUUCUUGGAGAAAAUAAGCCGACACUGCACUGAUUAUUUUCUGUGUGACUUGCUCAGCAUCUUACUUGCAUGUCCUUGUUGGCUCAUCACAAUAACCCUAUGAAGUGGACAGUUUUAUCUUUCCUAUUCACAGAUUAAGAAAUUGGAAUACAGAAAGAUCGAGUAAUUUAAGAUUUUAGUAAGUGAGAAACCAGGAUUUUAAAUUGCACUUGUUAGAAACUAGGAUAAUUACCACCAACCAACCCCCCGCCCCAAUAAAAUCCACUGUGAAAGAGAAAACGCUGAGGUCCCAAGCAGAGCACGACAGUUUCAGGGGGUUGCUGGGGACAGAAAAUGAAGAGGGAAGGUCAGGAGGGAGCAUGCUGGUAACUGAUUUACUUUCUGUGGCUCGUCUUUAUGUUCCACAAUACGGUUUCACCUCAUCUAGUGGCUGAGGCUAGAGAGCAAAUUCAGUAGCAAUAAAAUCAGACAACCUAUGAACACAAGAAUAAUUCUACCUGCUUCCCUGGGAGCAUCGCCUCUUCCAGCACCCAGGGUCCCUGGCAGCCCCUGCAGAAGGGAAGCUCUUUCCAGGUCCUGUAGCGUUAGCCGUGGGUCUUCAUGGGGUGCUGCAGGUAGAAAUAGAUCUGUAGUUUACUCCGUCCUCGACUAGCCAUUUCUGCUCCUGUUGUGUUUGGUGAGCACCAGAGGCAGGGAGAUGAAUACUAGAAACACUUCCAGUGCCAAGUUCAUCAUUUGUCUCUAGGGGUAUUUUGAAAGACAAGAGGAGAUGCCACAGUCCAAUCUGCAAGCCAGCAGGAUAGGACGGCAGGAGACGAAGACCUUGUGCCAACUCUACUGCCCACGUGACUUGCCAGGACACUCGACUGCCUUUGAGCAGAGCCACAGAUCCCUAAAACCUACUGCUGCCUACUGUCUUGUGCUUUCAGAUAUUUAGGUGGUGAAAUUGGAGUCCGAGGAAAAAGAAAGGGAAAGAUUGUUUAUGUUCCUCCUAUAAAGCAAAUAGGGUGGUUAACUUGCAGGACUUUGCAAUUUAGAUACAAUUAUCAUACUUAGAAAAGAGUCAGCUUCAAAAUAAUCUUUAAGGAACUUGACUGUGGCAUUUCCGAUGUAAAAUUUGAUCGGCUAAAUGGCAUAAAGGAUGCAUGGUAGGUGCAUGGUGUGUGCCAGAUGCGUGUGGGUGUGGUAUGUGGAGACUGGGUGUCAGGAUAGGUGUUGGCCAGGUGCCGCUAUGUUGGAAUUGGACGCUGUGGGUGUCAGGACGGGAGGCCACACUCAACACUGCAUGCUGCAGGCUUACGAAAAGCUACAACCUUGAUUGGAGGACAAUAAAAAAACCAUAAAGGCAUCUGGCCACAUUCCCAGUGUUUCUAAAAAAUAUUGAUGAAAAUCUAUGAAAUUCAAUCAUACAUAAAUGCUUAUGUCAUAAAGGCUCAUUUUCAAAUGAAUGAAAAAUCUGGCAAACAUUAUAAGGUAAGCUGCCACCUGUUCACAAUUUGAGUGAGGGGCUACACUCAUUUCAUCUUUUUCAUUAUAAUUAUUAUAUGUGAGUUUUUGAAGAUGACAGUAAUAUCUGAGUAUUCAUUCUUGAUUUUGUUUUGUGAUUUGUCAUUGUUCCUUUAUAAAUAGCAGAGACCCAGUAAGGUUGAUGCCUGUUUUUGACCACGAAGGUGACUGCCGAUAGAAGUGAUUGGUGCUGCGUGAAUGACUAAGUGCUUGAAAAUCAUCACAGAGCUGCUUGGGAUAAACUUUUAGAGCCUAGAUAUUAUAAAAUCAAUGGCUUAGAAAAGUUUUAAUUUAAAAAAAUUCUAAAAGUACCCAAAAUUAAAGACAAAAUUAAAUCCAGUUAAGUUUGAUGCUAAUACUCAAGCAUGGAAAAAAUUACCUACUUGGCUGACAUUUUUUUACAUCCAACUUA